Molecule: non-coding RNA, 28 nt
Filed under: Mus musculus (house mouse)
Lineage: Eukaryota; Metazoa; Chordata; Mammalia; Rodentia; Muridae
Source: RNAcentral
UGCUAUGUACUCCAGGAAGGCCUUGUAU